GACGAACGCUGGCGGCGUGCUUAACACAUGCAAGUCGAACGAAGAGCGAUGGAAGCUUGCUUCUAUCAAUCUUAGUGGCGAACGGGUGAGUAACGCGUAAUCAACCUGCCCUUCAGAGGGGGACAACAGUUGGAAACGACUGCUAAUACCGCAUACGAUCUAACCUCGGCAUCGAGGAUGGAUGAAAGGUGGCCUCUAUUUAUAAGCUAUCACUGAAGGAGGGGAUUGCGUCUGAUUAGCUAGUUGGAGGGGUAACGGCCCACCAAGGCGAUGAUCGGUAGCCGGUCUGAGAGGAUGAACGGCCACAUUGGGACUGAGACACGGCCCAGACUCCUACGGGAGGCAGCAGUGGGGAAUCUUCCGCAAUGGACGAAAGUCUGACGGAGCAACGCCGCGUGAGUGAUGACGGCCUUCGGGUUGUAAAGCUCUGUUAAUCGGGACGAAAGGCCUUCUUGCGAAUAGUUAGAAGGAUUGACGGUACCGGAAUAGAAAGCCACGGCUAACUACGUG
RNAcentral lists this ribosomal RNA (510 nucleotides) under uncultured bacterium. RNAcentral describes it as "partial 16S ribosomal RNA". It matches the Rfam family "Bacterial small subunit ribosomal RNA", at positions 28 to 507 of the family's 1533-position model. The record is from RNAcentral.